UUUUUUUAAUUUUUAACAAAUAAAUAUUUUAAAAAAGUUGUUUAUUUUUUUAUAUGGAAAAUGAACCGAUUUUUCUAAUCUAAAGCAAUUCAUGAGAAAUUAUGAAAAGAAUAUCUUAUCGAAUUAAUAUCACGUUCUAAGCCUCAUGAUAAUCCGAUAUAUAAAUAUAAAACAAUCACAUAUAAUUGCAAAAGAGGUCAUUUUUUCAAAUCCAGCUUAACUAUCGUAAAAGAAAAGACAACUUUUAAACAAGGGUGCAAUAGAAAAGUUAUUUUCAAACUUAAACCUAAUGGAAAUGGAUGUGACACACAAUCAUAUAAUAUUGACUGAAAAAUACUAAAAUAAAUUGCAAUGGGCCUGGGAAAAAUAUGAGCAUCAAUGCCUUAGCAAUAUUCUUACACCACUGUAAAAUCCAGGAAGGGCUUCAAAUUUUGAUCUCUGCAAUAAAUCUUUUCAAAUAUUUUUUAAUUUUAUACCUUUCCAAAUUAUGUUACCACUGAUAUUUACAUUUAUGGGAUUUUAUGUUUAAAUCAUCUUCAAAAUUUUCUUUUGAUAAUAUUAAGCGCCUAAAAAGUUUACCUUAUUUUAAUAUUUAUUAUAUUGUGUGAUUCUUAUAUUAUUUAUAAUGGUGAUGGAUUAUUGCAAAAAACUAUUCUAUGAAUCCUCCUUUGAAUAUAACUUUAAACAAUAUAAUUUAGCAUAAAGAAUUAUUUUUAUUGUUAAAAAUAUUUAAUGUUUGUAAUUUAUAUAUAAAAUAUAAUAUCAUCAUGUACA
Long non-coding RNA from Gordionus sp. m RMFG-2023, 774 nucleotides. RefSeq lists it as uncharacterized. NCBI's taxonomy places the organism in Eukaryota, Metazoa, Nematomorpha, Gordioida, Chordodea, Parachordodidae. The record is from RefSeq and is a predicted model, not a curated record. The transcript has 3 exons.